Non-coding RNA from Glycine soja, 120 nucleotides. The record is from Rfam. NCBI's taxonomy places the organism in Eukaryota, Viridiplantae, Streptophyta, Magnoliopsida, Fabales, Fabaceae.
UUACACAGAGAUGUUGAUUGUCACGUGUCAUGUUCUUAUUGGAUGUCAACUCCAUGGAAGAUGAAAUGCAUUGUUGUUUUCAUUGACCAAUCAUAACAUAACACGUGACAGUCAUCAUCC